Molecule: RNase P RNA, 411 nt
Filed under: Paenibacillus xerothermodurans
Lineage: Bacteria; Bacillati; Bacillota; Bacilli; Caryophanales; Paenibacillaceae
Description: Bacillus xerothermodurans Bacterial RNase P class A
Rfam family: Bacterial RNase P class A
About the family: Ribonuclease P (RNase P) is a ubiquitous endoribonuclease, found in archaea, bacteria and eukarya as well as chloroplasts and mitochondria.
Source: Rfam by way of RNAcentral
AAAGCUUGACAGACAAUCGCUGGUGAGAAAUCACGAGAGGAAAGUCCGGGCUCCACAGGGCAAUGAUGCUGGAUAACGUCCAGUCAGCGCGAGCUGAAGGCUAGUGCCACAGAAAUGGACCGCCGAUGGCGUGAGAUUCGCUUCUCGCGCACAGGCAAGGGUGGAACCGUGGUGUAAGAGACCACGAGGAGAUAUGGUGACAUAUUUCCUGGUAAACCCCAUCUGGUGCAAGGCCUAAUGGAACGCACGUCUCCUCGGAGACAGUCUCGGCCCGGGACGCGUUCGGGUUGGUCGCUGGAGCCAAGCAGCAAUGUUUGGCCUAGAUAGAUGAUUGUCGCUUCAAUGGUGGGAGGGUGGUGCCCGUUAUGACCACUGGAAGUACAGAACCCGGCUUAUGAGCAAGCUUUCCGA